This 6723-nucleotide unclassified non-coding RNA is filed under the name Rhipicephalus microplus (southern cattle tick). RNAcentral describes it as "aminoacyl tRNA synthase complex-interacting multifunctional protein 1-like, transcript variant X2". The record is from RNAcentral. Lineage: Eukaryota; Metazoa; Arthropoda; Arachnida; Ixodida; Ixodidae.
AAAAUAUCAGUUUUAAAUAUUUUGAUUAAAAUACCGAACAAAGUUGUAAAGAUUCAACUCUAUUACACGAGCACUACUACUACUGGCCUAAUCAGAUCGUGCGUGUGCCGGUUCCUUCCGCUUCCACGCUAGCAGUCUAAAAAAGGCGCGGCUGAGCGUGGUCUGGCGUGGUGUAGUGCCGGUGAUUUUUGCUGCGAGUUGAGUCUGUACGAGCUUACUUCGUGGCGGACUGUCGCUUGUUCAUUGCUCGUGCCUGCAGGUCUUCAAGAUGGUGGUUGAUAACGCUCUAGCGCGGGUAAUGUGUAGGGCCAAGCAAGCGGACGAGUUGCUUGCGGCGCUUACUGCUCAGCUGCAAUCUUUGCGUGCUGCCAGAACAGAGCGAUAUGUUCAAGCCGAAUGCGCCCGCUUACGAAGCGAAAACGAACAGCUCAGGCGAGACGUCGAAACUUGGAAAAAACGCCUCGAGGCUGCCGAAGCUGGCUGCGGGAUCGCGCCAGUGGGAGUUUCCGCACAACGAGCGAAACCUGAGCAGCCGGCAGCUCAAGCAAAGAGCGCUAAGCCACAAGCCGCUCCGCAGAAACUUGGUGACGCUGGUGCCGGCGAUCAGCCCAAGAAACGUGCUGGACCCGCUGUGGACUCAAAAGCACCCCCGGCGAAGAAGGCGGAUGCCAAGAAAAAGGUCGAAGACAACGAUGACUCGAAGCCCGUAGAUGUGAGCCGGCUUGACUUGCGCGUGGGACGGAUUGUGAGCGCUGUCAAGCACCCCGAUGCAGACUCUCUCUACGUUGAACAGGUAGACGUAGGAGAGGAAAAGCCUCGCACGGUCGUCUCGGGAUUGGUGAAGUUUGUGCCGCUCGACAAGAUGCAGAACCGCAUGGCUGUGCUUCUCUGCAAUCUGAAGCCUGCCAAGAUGCGCGGUGUCACGUCGGAAGCCAUGGUCAUGUGCGCGAGCACUCCGGAGAAAGUUGAAAUUUUGGCUCCUCCACCAGGUGCUCAGCCAGGGGAUCGCGUUGUCUGCGACGGUUAUCCAGGCCAGCCAGAUGCGCAGCUUAACCCCAAGAAGAAAAUCUUUGAGCAGGUGGCUCCCGACCUCAAGACUGACAGUGAAAAAAGGGCUACGUACAGAGACCAGCCAUGGAUUGUUACGGGCCAUCAGGGUCAUGUGACUGCAGAGACGCUAUGCAAUGUCCAGAUUAAGUAAUUUUACAUUUACAUUUACAAGCCGCAACACAGUCUAUAAACAUAAUGAAAAUGAGUGAAAAAAGUUGCAACUCCCCUCUACUAAAAGCUAGAAAACGAAUCAACUAUACACUGUUCCAGAAGUUCCGUGCAGCACUGUGGAAGCUACAUGUCUUCUCAACCAAUCAGGAGGGCAAGCACAUUCAAGUAUAUCCUUCCACGCCCUGUCGCCUGCUAGCGACGUGCGCUGCAGCGAAAGCGGCAAGAGCGUCUUGGGACACUGUGUAACUGCGCAGUGAGAUGAGCUGUAAUUGUGAAAGCGGUUAAAUAUUCUCCUCGGCACCGUAAAAGCGCGCGUCUUUGAGAUACUUGCACAUAGACAUUUGAGGGAUAGGGUUCAGUGGCUCAUGUUUCGGUGGAAAGCGCCGCACUAGCCCAAUUGAAUAUAAAAGCACCAAGCUUCAUCAGAUUUCGAAUACGCAUGCCUAUGGGCAUGCGAAGUGCCGCUCGCGUUCGAUACGAAAUGAUGGCUCUAUUUCCUGGUGCCUCGCUGUGCUUAUCGUGCUUCGCUACCCACUUGUACAGUGCACGCUCGCUGACGUUGGUGAACGCAGCCGUUCUCUUAAUGAGAGAAUUCAUGCUUGCAUUUCUCCCGCCCUCCUUACGCAGUGUCCCGAACACAUUUAGAGCCAACUGCUUCACUCCCUUGUCGUAAAAGUUGAUCUGGGAACGAUAUCGCAUAGAUGAACCAGGCGUCGCCAUUUUGGCAGGAGUGACCAAAUCUGCCACCGCGGACUAAUCACCACCAAAGACUGGUUCCUCCUCGGUGCUGCGGACGCUCGGGCUGUGUGGACUACUCAUAAAAGUUUAGACAGUGUCGUACCAUUCCUUCGUACUUUAUAAGUAAAAGCAUAAUACAUAUGAGCCACAACAGCGUUAUUUCUGUCGUUUGCAUGUUAUAACACGUACAUGCAAGGACUUUUUCUUCAGUAUGAUGGAGUCACAAAAAUUUUCUACAAAAAAUGCGACAAAAUUGUCAUACAAAUCACAGCUACAACAUGCAGAGAAGCCUUCAAGUAAAAAUCCUCCGACGUUACCGGUUGCAAAAUUCGCGAGGACAAACAAUGGGCUAAGUAUACGGGGCAAUACAUCUCUCUUCCCAACAACCUGCGUUCGAGGGUCGUGUAGCCUUGGCUCUGCUGCAUGGAACUUCUGGAACAGAUUAUAGUUCAAAAGCAUCUUGUAUAUUUGCUAUGGCAAUAAAGAAAUGUUAAAGUGCAAGAUAUGCUAAAAACAUUUAAAUGGGUGCUGACAAAAUUUAUUGGCCAAAAUGUGGGAUCGAAUGCCAUGAAAAUGCAGAUGUCAUCUGCAAAUUAUUGUUACGGUGUAACAUAGACAUGAACCAGGGUGGUGGUCGCCGAAGAUGAAGACGAGAAAACGUAGAGCUGCCGCGUGGUACUCAUCCGCCAUAUCAUCUGGCUGACGAUCAGCUGUUUCAAUAAAUAUCGAUCUCACCUCCGUCACACUUGGUGGAGGUGCUGGGUAAACGCCUUCCAACGGAACUUUGCAGCGGACGUCGUUUGAAGGGACACUCUGCAACUAUGACGGAAAAUACGGCGUCUGCAUCUGCCCCCGGUGUUCGUGUGGCUAGAGAUGAUGCGGCGACUGCAUCUGCUCUGGCGACUACAACCUUCGUGCUUGAAUCCCCACGGGAUCCUGGCAGGAUUAGCGGUUCUGGCGAUCCAGAUGAAGUGGACGUUGAGAAUUGGCUGGCGGAGUACGAACGUGUGAGUACUCGAUACAGAUCGGGUCCGACUCUUAUGCUGGCGAACUUGUUGUUCUACUUUAAGGGAACUGCCAUGGUGCGGUAUGACACCAUGAAGCAGAACUUGGGAGCUGGGAAACAUGCAGGCAAAAAAUGUUGGACUUGUUCGAGAAGCCGAUUGGACGAAAGAUGUCUGCAAACAAAAUGCUUGCGUCUCGGGCGCAAACGUCCACAGAAUCGUACAUCGAAGCUGUAAUUUCUUUGUGUUGGAGAGUCAAUGCCGGAGGCCCCCGUCGUGCUCGUGAAAAAAAAAAAAAAAGAUGGAAGCUGGCGCUUUUGUGUUGACUAUCGCCACUUAAACAAAGUAACUCCUAAAGACGUCUACUCUUUGCCACGGAUCGAUGGUGACGCUCUCGACUGCCUUCAUAGUGCACAAUACUUUUCAUCGAUCGACCUUCGGUACGGUUAUUAGCAAAUUUUAGUUGACCCCAUGGACCGCUAAAAAACUGCCUUUGUGACGCCUGAUGGUCUCUACCAAUUCAAGGUCAUGCCGUUUGGACUUUGCAAUGCCCCGGCAACUUUCGAACGCAUAAUGGACUCCCUCCUCCGUGGAUAUAAGUGGUCCAUCUGUUUAUAUUACCUAGACAAUGUCAUCGUCUGUUCCCCUACGUUUGACAGCCAUCUCACAUGUCUGUCUGCCGUUCUGGAUGUUUUUCGCUGAGCCACUCUUCAACUGAAUUCGGCAAAGUGCUGUUUUGGACGGCGCAAAAUAACUAUUUUCGGUCACCUUGUAAGUGCUGCCGGCGUUCAACCGGACCUCGAUAAGGUGCGGGCAGUGCGAGAAUUCCCUGUACCGUGCUCAACCAAGGACGUCCGCAGUUUUAUAGGAUUAUGUUCCUAUUUUCGUCGCUUCGUCCACAACUUCGCUCACAUUACCCGACCUCUUACUGAUCUCGUUAAAAAGGACACUCCUUUCACUUGGCGUGCCAAGCAAGCUGACACCUUUUCUACCCUUAUCCAUCUGCUGACUACGCCGCCAAUACUGGCCCAUUUUGACCUUACUUCGCAUACAGAGCUUCGGACCCAUGCCAGUGGCCACGAAAUUGGGGCGGUUCUCGGUCAACGACAGCACGGCAAGGAUCAAGUAAUUGCUUAUGCCAGUCGUCUCCUUUUGCCCGCCGAGCAGAAAUUCUCCAUCACCGAGCGUGAAUGCCUAGCGCUAGUGUGGGCUGUGACUAAAUUCAGGCCCUACCUAUAUGGCCGAACGUUUUCCGUAGUCACAGACGAUCGCGCUCUCUGCUGGCUCUCGUCACUAAAGGACCCGUCUGGACGUCUCGGUCGCUGGGCACUACAUCUUCAGGAAUAUUCGUUUCAGGUACAUUACAAGUCGGGGCGACUUCACAAAGACGCAGACUGUUUGUCACGUCAUCCAGUUGAAGAGCACAACCUAGAAGACCUUGACUCUGACUCCUGCAUGCUGUCCAUCUCCGCUUUGCUUGACAUCGUCAGUGAACAGCGACAGGACCCAUCGUUAGUGGCUAUUAUCGACCGUCUAACAUCCCCCUCACCCGACCCGUCUGUUCGAGCUGCAUGACAACAUCCUGUAUCGUCGCAGCUUCAAUGCUGAUGGCCUGGAACUACUUUUUGUGCCACCCCACUAUUUACGCAACAGUGUCCUGGAACAACUUCAUGAUGCACCCACUGUCGGUCACCUUGGUGUCUCUCGUACAUACGAUCGAGUGCGACGUCGUUGUUUCUGCCUGGCAUGUACCGUACUGUGGUUCAUUACGUCGCGUCAUGUGACCACUGCCAACGACGAAAGCGCCCAUUGGUACUGCCUUCUAGCCACUUACACCCCAUCAACAUACCCGUGGAGCCAUUCUUCUGUGUUGGACUUGACCUGCUAGGCCCUUUUCCUGCGUCCACCUCGGGUAAUAAAUGGGUUGUUGUCGCCGCGGAUUAUAGCAAACGCUUUACCAUCAUUCGAGCACUGCCAAUGAGUUGCGCCACUGACGUCGCUGACUUUCUCUUGUACGACGUCAUUCUACAUCAUGGCGCCCCUCGACAGCUGCUUACCGAUCGAGGAAGGUAGUUCCUUUCAUGUAUUGUCGACGACAUUCUCCGUACCUGCUCCACUCAGCACAAGCUUACCACAGCCUAUCAUCUCCAGACGAAUGGAUUGACCGAGCAUCUCAAUGGAACGCUUACUCAGAUGCUGUCAGUGUACGUUUCGUCCGAUCGCCGUGACUGGGACAGUGCACUGCCAUUUGUCACUGUUGCUUAUACUUCUUCAUGACAUGAUACAAUGGGUUAUUCACCAUUCUAUUUGCUAUUUGAUCGGCAUCCAGUGUUACCAUUUGGGACCCUCCUUCCUUCGACCAGACCCUUGUCUACUUCGUACGCCAGCGACGUCAUUGUUCGAGCACAUACAGCUUAACAAAUCACCCACGACCGACUAUCAUUGUCCCAAGCACAGCAAAAAGAUAGUUACGAUAGUCGACAUCGAAGCGUCAACUUCACACCAAGAUCUUCGGUACUCCUUUAGUCACCCUGCCGCCAAGUCGGCUCAUCCGAGAAGCUUCUCUCCCAUUACAACGGCCCCUACAGAGUGUACUCCACUGACUUAGCGACGUCAAUUAUGAGAUCGCACCUGUGGACUCGGCUUAUUCGACCACGUCACCCCAGACAGACAUCAAACACGUCUUUAGACUGAAACUAUAUUGCCCUGCUAGCUCUUCAUUGCCUUAGAAAGCGCCACGAUGGCGCUUCCGCCGCGGGAGGGUGAUGUUACGGUGCAACAUAGACAUGAACGAGGGUGGUGGUCGCCGAAGAUAAAGACGACGAGAAAACGUAGAGCUGGUGCGUGGUACUCAUCCGCCAUGUCGUCUGGCGGACGAUCAGCUGUUUCAAUAAACCUCAAUCUCAUCUCCGUCACAAUGUCAACGGGAAAUAUAUUUUGUACGGUAUUUUACAUGAAGUUUGCAUGCAUAAUCUACAUCCUCAAAAGUGACUCUGUAGUGUCCCCCCGUACUUGCCUAACAUUACCACGCAGCAGUCAAUACAAGUUAUGAUGAUGUCAUAGAUACCAUUUUUCUUCUGAGCUGCAUUCGCUCCAGCAUACUACUACUCGGCGGCUCCUCUUGAGUUUGUGGUGCAUGCGUUAAAUGUUUUGUGUCUGGCGACCCUGCUGUCCCGUUUCCUGUUUGAGAAGACUUCUUGAUGCGGACUGUGCGGAAGUGCGUCACAGUUACUGUAUGCUGACGUGGUCGGGUGUUUCACAUGCUACGUGGUAAUAGUUGCACCCACUUGCUUCUCUUUCUUGGAGCUCUCUCAAACCAAAACUGAGACUGGUCAGUAAUGAAGAGCCUGUAACUAAUGAUCUGUCACGCACUACAGCAAACAUGUGUCGUGUUACAGCUAAUAGGCCCCCAGCAACAUAUUGCACUAAAAAACAUGAGGCCAAAACUUUUUUUCAGUACCCUUUUAAAUGCAAAAAUACUGUGUACUUGGAAUUACGUAAAUGUACCAUUGUCAUAGGUUCUACCAUUUCCAAUGGAGACUGAAAUGUAGACCCGUGUGCUCAGAUUUGGGUGCACUUAAAGAACCCCAGGUGGUCGAAAUUUCUGGAGCCCUCCACUACGGCGUCUCUCAUAAUCGUAUGGUGGUUUUGGGACGUUAAACCCCACAUAUCAAUCAGUCAUAGGUUAUACAAAACAUGAUUGCUUUUCAGUUAGUUGGAGCAGUUUCUUGACCCUUGCAAUAAACCUUGCCAAACAAAA